CCUCUUCUCUGAACACGGGGGUAGUUCCCUCGGCCUGUUAUAUCUAGGAGCCCUAUCAUGGCACUUAGCGUUGAAGAAAAAGCCCAGAUCGUUAACGACUACAAGCGCGGCGAA
Molecule: regulatory RNA element, 114 nt
Organism: Pseudomonas sp. HPB0071
Lineage: Bacteria; Pseudomonadati; Pseudomonadota; Gammaproteobacteria; Pseudomonadales; Pseudomonadaceae
Rfam family: Ribosomal S15 leader
About the family: The E. coli Ribosomal S15 gene 5' UTR can form two alternative structures. One that is a series of three hairpins, The other includes a pseudoknot. This structure causes translational regulation of the S15 protein.
Source: Rfam